RNAcentral lists this ribosomal RNA (775 nucleotides) under uncultured Neocallimastigales. Its description in RNAcentral is "partial large subunit ribosomal RNA". It matches the Rfam family "Eukaryotic large subunit ribosomal RNA", at positions 22 to 645 of the family's 3401-position model. The record is from RNAcentral. Lineage: Eukaryota; Fungi; Neocallimastigomycota; Neocallimastigomycetes; Neocallimastigales.
GUACACGCUGUGACUAGCAUAUCAAUAAGCGGAGGAAAAGAAACUAACAAGGAUUCCCCUAGUAACGGCGAGUGAAGCGGGAAGAGCUCAAAUUUGAAAUCUUAAAGGGUUUCCCUUUACGAAUUGUAGUUUAAAGAAGUGUUUUCUGUUGAGGUUUUGGUAAAAGUUCUUUGGAAUAGGACAUCAUAGAGGGUGAGAAUCCCGUAUUUGACCUUUACUUUCAACUUUGUGAUACACUUUCAAAGAGUCGGAUUGUUUGGGAAUGCAGUCCAAAAUGGGUGGUAAAUUUCAUCUAAAGCUAAAUAUUAGCGAGAGACCGAUAGCGAACAAGUACCGUGAGGGAAAGAUGAAAAGAACUUUGAAAAGAGAGUUAAACAGUACGUGAAAUUGUCAAAAGGGAAGCGUUUGACACCAGUGUUGUUUUUCUGAAGAUCAAUUAAAGAACUGUUUAUGCUAAGCUGUUUAGACUUUAUCAGCUAUACUGUUUAGUUUUGAGCUUUUCUUUAAUGCACUUUUCAGUUAACAAGUCAACAUCAAUUUCUUUUGCUGUAAAAAAGCUUGAGGAAGGUGGCUUGAGAUUCGUCUUAAGUGUUUAUAGCCUCUUGCCUAUGCAGUCGGAGAGAUUGAGGUCUGCAGCGUAGAUCCUUCGGGGCUAAAUGCAUUUGUGCUAAGUUAUAGCAUUUUAUAGACAACUUGUUGACUAUGAUUUGUCUUGUAGCUUACUCGCUUAUGUUAUUUUACCUACGCUUAGGAUGUUGAAGUCAUCGUAUCGCGC